GCAGUGGUGGUUCAGUGGUAGAAUUCUCACCUUUCAUGGGAGAGACCCAGGUUCAAUUGCUGGCCAGUGCC
Loxodonta africana (African savanna elephant) is the source of this 71-nucleotide transfer RNA. It matches the Rfam family "tRNA". From Rfam's summary of the family: Transfer RNA (tRNA) molecules are approximately 80 nucleotides in length. Their secondary structure includes four short double-helical elements and three loops (D, anti-codon, and T loops). Further hydrogen bonds mediate the characteristic L-shaped molecular structure. tRNAs have two regions of fundamental functional importance: the anti-codon, which is responsible for specific mRNA codon recognition, and the 3' end, to which the tRNAs corresponding amino acid is attached (by aminoacyl-tRNA synthetases). tRNAs cope with the degeneracy of the genetic code in two manners: having more than one tRNA (with a specific anti-codon) for a particular amino acid; and 'wobble' base-pairing, i.e. permitting non-standard base-pairing at the 3rd anti-codon position. The record is from Rfam. Lineage: Eukaryota; Metazoa; Chordata; Mammalia; Proboscidea; Elephantidae.